CCUACGGGUGGCUGCAGUGGGGAAUAUUGGACAAUGGGCGCAAGCCUGAUCCAGCAAUGCCGCGUGUGUGAAGAAGGCCUUCGGGUUGUAAAGCACUUUUAUCAGGAGCGAAAUGCCAUGGGCCAAUACCCCGUGGAGCUGACGGUACCUGAGGAAUAAGCACCGGCUAACUUCGUGCCAGCAGCCGCGGUAAUACGAAGGGUGCAUGCGUUAAUCGGAAUUACUGGAGGCGAAUCGUUAAGAGUCGUGUGAAAUCCCCGGGCUCAACCUGGGAAUGGCAAUGGAUACUGGCGGGCUAGAGUGUGUCAGAGGAUGGUGGAAUUCCCGGUGUAGCGGUGAAAUGCGUAGAGAUCGGGAGGAACAUCAGUGGCGAAGGCGGCCAUCUGGGACAACACUGACGCUGAAGCACGAAAGCGUGGGGAGCAAACAGGAUUAGAUACCCGUGUAGUC
This 450-nucleotide ribosomal RNA is filed under the name uncultured bacterium. RNAcentral's name for it is "partial 16S ribosomal RNA". It matches the Rfam family "Bacterial small subunit ribosomal RNA", at positions 338 to 795 of the family's 1533-position model. The record is from RNAcentral.